RNAcentral lists this ribosomal RNA (2746 nucleotides) under Escherichia coli KTE101. RNAcentral's name for it is "bacterial LSU rRNA". It matches the Rfam family "Bacterial large subunit ribosomal RNA". Lineage: Bacteria; Pseudomonadati; Pseudomonadota; Gammaproteobacteria; Enterobacterales; Enterobacteriaceae. The record is from RNAcentral.
AUCCAUAGGUUAAUGAGGCGAACCGGGGGAACUGAAACAUCUAAGUACCCCGAGGAAAAGAAAUCAACCGAGAUUCCCCCAGUAGCGGCGAGCGAACGGGGAGCAGCCCAGAGCCUGAAUCAGUGUGUGUGUUAGUGGAAGCGUCUGGAAAGGCGCGCGAUACAGGGUGACAGCCCCGUACACAAAAAUGCACAUACUGUGAGCUCGAUGAGUAGGGCGGGACACGUGGUAUCCUGUCUGAAUAUGGGGGGACCAUCCUCCAAGGCUAAAUACUCCUGACUGACCGAUAGUGAACCAGUACCGUGAGGGAAAGGCGAAAAGAACCCCGGCGAGGGGAGUGAAAAAGAACCUGAAACCGUGUACGUACAAGCAGUGGGAGCACAGAGCAAUCUGUGUGACUGCGUACCUUUUGUAUAAUGGGUCAGCGACUUAUAUUCUGUAGCAAGGUUAACCGAAUAGGGGAGCCGAAGGGAAACCGAGUCUUAACUGGGCGUUAAGUUGCAGGGUAUAGACCCGAAACCCGGUGAUCUAGCCAUGGGCAGGUUGAAGGUUGGGUAACACUAACUGGAGGACCGAACCGACUAAUGUUGAAAAAUUAGCGGAUGACUUGUGGCUGGGGGUGAAAGGCCAAUCAAACCGGGAGAUAGCUGGUUCUCCCCGAAAGCUAUUUAGGUAGCGCCUCGUGAAUUCAUCUCCGGGGGUAGAGCACUGUUUCGGCAAGGGGGUCAUCCCGACUUACCAACCCGAUGCAAACUGCGAAUACCGGAGAAUGUUAUCACGGGAGACACACGGCGGGUGCUAACGUCCGUCGUGAAGAGGGAAACAACCCAGACCGCCAGCUAAGGUCCCAAAGUCAUGGUUAAGUGGGAAACGAUGUGGGAAGGCCCAGACAGCCAGGAUGUUGGCUUAGAAGCAGCCAUCAUUUAAAGAAAGCGUAAUAGCUCACUGGUCGAGUCGGCCUGCGCGGAAGAUGUAACGGGGCUAAACCAUGCACCGAAGCUGCGGCAGCGACGCUGAUGCGUUGUUGGGUAGGGGAGCGUUCUGUAAGCCUGUGAAGGUGUGCUGUGAGGCAUGCUGGAGGUAUCAGAAGUGCGAAUGCUGACAUAAGUAACGAUAAAGCGGGUGAAAAGCCCGCUCGCCGGAAGACCAAGGGUUCCUGUCCAACGUUAAUCGGGGCAGGGUGAGUCGACCCCUAAGGCGAGGCCGAAAGGCGUAGUCGAUGGGAAACAGGUUAAUAUUCCUGUACUUGGUGUUACUGCGAAGGGGGGACGGAGAAGGCUAUGUUGGCCGGGCGACGGUUGUCCCGGUUUAAGCGUGUAGGCUGGUUUUCCAGGCAAAUCCGGAAAAUCAAGGCUGAGGCGUGAUGACGAGGCACUACGGUGCUGAAGCAACAAAUGCCCUGCUUCCAGGAAAAGCCUCUAAGCAUCAGGUAACAUCAAAUCGUACCCCAAACCGACACAGGUGGUCAGGUAGAGAAUACCAAGGCGCUUGAGAGAACUCGGGUGAAGGAACUAGGCAAAAUGGUGCCGUAACUUCGGGAGAAGGCACGCUGAUAUGUAGGUGAAGUCCCUCGCGGAUGGAGCUGAAAUCAGUCGAAGAUACCAGCUGGCUGCAACUGUUUAUUAAAAACACAGCACUGUGCAAACACGAAAGUGGACGUAUACGGUGUGACGCCUGCCCGGUGCCGGAAGGUUAAUUGAUGGGGUCAGCGCAAGCGAAGCUCUUGAUCGAAGCCCCGGUAAACGGCGGCCGUAACUAUAACGGUCCUAAGGUAGCGAAAUUCCUUGUCGGGUAAGUUCCGACCUGCACGAAUGGCGUAAUGAUGGCCAGGCUGUCUCCACCCGAGACUCAGUGAAAUUGAACUCGCUGUGAAGAUGCAGUGUACCCGCGGCAAGACGGAAAGACCCCGUGAACCUUUACUAUAGCUUGACACUGAACAUUGAGCCUUGAUGUGUAGGAUAGGUGGGAGGCUUUGAAGUGUGGACGCCAGUCUGCAUGGAGCCGACCUUGAAAUACCACCCUUUAAUGUUUGAUGUUCUAACGUGGACCCGUAAUCCGGGUUGCGGACAGUGUCUGGUGGGUAGUUUGACUGGGGCGGUCUCCUCCUAAAGAGUAACGGAGGAGCACGAAGGUUGGCUAAUCCUGGUCGGACAUCAGGAGGUUAGUGCAAUGGCAUAAGCCAGCUUGACUGCGAGCGUGACGGCGCGAGCAGGUGCGAAAGCAGGUCAUAGUGAUCCGGUGGUUCUGAAUGGAAGGGCCAUCGCUCAACGGAUAAAAGGUACUCCGGGGAUAACAGGCUGAUACCGCCCAAGAGUUCAUAUCGACGGCGGUGUUUGGCACCUCGAUGUCGGCUCAUCACAUCCUGGGGCUGAAGUAGGUCCCAAGGGUAUGGCUGUUCGCCAUUUAAAGUGGUACGCGAGCUGGGUUUAGAACGUCGUGAGACAGUUCGGUCCCUAUCUGCCGUGGGCGCUGGAGAAUUGAGGGGGGCUGCUCCUAGUACGAGAGGACCGGAGUGGACGCAUCACUGGUGUUCGGGUUGUCAUGCCAAUGGCACUGCCCGGUAGCUAAAUGCGGAAGAGAUAAGUGCUGAAAGCAUCUAAGCACGAAACUUGCCCCGAGAUGAGUUCUCCCUGACUCCUUGAGAGUCCUGAAGGAACGUUGAAGACGACGACGUUGAUAGGCCGGGUGUGUAAGCGCAGCGAUGCGUUGAGCUAACCGGUACUAAUGAACCGUGAGGCUUAACCUU